AGCGAACGCUGGCGGCAGGCCUAACACAUGCAAGUCGAACGGACCCUUCGGGGUUAGUGGCGGACGGGUGAGUAACACGUGGGAACGUGCCUUUAGGUUCGGAAUAGCUCCUGGAAACGGGUGGUAAUGCCGAAUGUGCCCUUCGGGGAAAGAUUUAUCGCCUUUAGAGCGGCCCGCGUCUGAUUAGCUAGUUGGUGGGGUAAUGGCCCACCAAGGCUACGAUCAGUAGCUGGUCUGAGAGGAUGACCAGCCACAUUGGGACUGAGACACGGCCCAAACUCCUACGGGAGGCAGCAGUGGGGAAGUCUUGCGCAAUGGGCGAAAGCCUGACGCAGCCAUGCCGCGUGUAUGAUGAAGGUCUUAGGAUUGUAAAAUACUUUCACCGGUGAAGAUAAUAGACUGUAGCCGGAGAAGAAGCCCCGGCUAACUUCGUGCCAGCAG
RNAcentral lists this ribosomal RNA (441 nucleotides) under uncultured bacterium. Its description in RNAcentral is "bacterial SSU rRNA". It matches the Rfam family "Bacterial small subunit ribosomal RNA", at positions 29 to 514 of the family's 1533-position model. The record is from RNAcentral.